This 476-nucleotide ribosomal RNA is filed under the name uncultured bacterium. RNAcentral describes it as "partial 16S ribosomal RNA". It matches the Rfam family "Bacterial small subunit ribosomal RNA", at positions 28 to 523 of the family's 1533-position model. The record is from RNAcentral.
GAUGAACGCUGGCGGCGUGCUUAACACAUGCAAGUCGAGCGAGUGAGUUCUUCGGAACGAUCUAGCGGCGGACGGGUGAGUAACACGUGGGCAACCUGCCUCAUAGAGGGGAAUAGCCUCCCGAAAGGGAGAUUAAUACCGCAUAACAUCGUUGAAGGGCAUCCUUCGAUGAUCAAAGGAGCAAUCCGCUAUGAGAUGGGCCCGCGGCGCAUUAGCUAGUUGGUGAGGUAACGGCUCACCAAGGCGACGAUGCGUAGCCGACCUGAGAGGGUGAUCGGCCAAGUUGGGACUGAGACACGGCGCAGACGCCUACGGGAGGCAGCAGUGGGGAAUAUUGCACAAUGGGGGAAACCCUGAUGCAGCAACGCCGCGUGAGUGAUGACGGCCUUCGGGUUGUAAAGCUCUGUCUUUGGGGACGAUAAUGACGGUACCCAAGGAGGAAGUCACGGCUAACUACGUGCCAGCAGCCGCCGUAA